UGGCUCAGAGGUUAAAGCGCCUGUCUCCAAUGCAGGAGACCCAGGUUCGAUCCCUGG
This 57-nucleotide transfer RNA is filed under the name Ovis aries (sheep). It matches the Rfam family "tRNA", at positions 8 to 63 of the family's 71-position model. From Rfam's summary of the family: Transfer RNA (tRNA) molecules are approximately 80 nucleotides in length. The record is from Rfam by way of RNAcentral. Lineage: Eukaryota; Metazoa; Chordata; Mammalia; Artiodactyla; Bovidae.